GAGCCGCUGGAUGGCAUGUUCACGUGUGCGAAAGGGACGGUAGCGGGUUUAAAUGCAUUACUUUGCUUUGGAAAAAGAGAAAACAACCAUUUUCUGAGACACUUGUAUCGGAACAAAAACGUGAGUGUUAAAACUCUGGGAACGCUACGGACAGCGCUAAAUGUCAGGACAAAUAGUGCGCAAGUCUAAUACAUCUGAACUUCGCAAAACAACAGUUCUAUACUCAAGUACACGCCAUGGAGACUAAAGAGGACAGCUGUGAUACGGACAGCACUGUCAGAACAAAUCGCGGUAAACGUAAAAACGAGGAGACGGAUGAGGCAGCAAAACAAGGCAAACGUAAGAAGCAAAAGAAGUGCGGCAAACAGCUGCGUCCCGGAGAGCGGUACGUGCCUCCGCCACAGAAACGCAACCCAGGCGUGAGUUUCAGCCAAGAACAUUUUGCGGAAACCUCCUACUAUUUUGAAAGCGGUCUUCGCAAAGUGUAUCCUUAUUAUUUUGAUUUUACGACUUACUGUAAGGGACGCUGGAUUGGUAAAACACUACUAGAGAUUUUUAAGAGUGAAUUCCGGGCGGAGUCUCUGGAUUACUACAAUAAGGCUGUCAAAGAGGGGCGUAUUAAAUUGAAUGAAACCCCUGUGGAUGACCUGAAUAUAAUACUAAAGAAUAAUGACUUUAUGAGGAACACAGUGCAUCGUCAUGAGCCCCCUGUGAGUGGGAGGCCCUUGGAGGUUCUGGUGGAUGAUGGUGAAUUGGUGGUGGUGGAUAAACCCGCCUCACUUCCCGUGCAUCCCUGUGGCCGCUACCGUCACAAUACUGUCAUUUUCAUUCUGGGAAAGGAGAAGGGCCUUAGUGGCCUCCACACAGUACAUCGACUGGACCGCCUCACCUCAGGUGUGCUGCUGUUUGCUCGUACACUUGAGGUCUCCAAAAAACUGGAUGCGAUGGUUCGUGAGAGACAGUUAGAGAAGGAGUAUGUGUGUCGUGUGGAAGGGGAGUUUCCAGAGGGUGAGGUGGUGUGUGAAGAACCCAUCCUGCUAGUGUCCUUCCGCGUGGGCCUCUGUAGGGUGGAUCCCAAAGGCAAAGAAUCCCGCACAGUUUUCCAGAGACUUAGCUAUAACGGGCGCUCUAGUGUGGUCCGCUGUCUGCCUCUCACAGGACGUACUCACCAGAUUCGUGUUCAUCUUCAGUUCCUCGGCUUUCCAAUCCUCAACGAUCCCAUCUAUGGGUCUUCUGCAUGGGGUCCAAACAGAGCCAAAGGAGGGCUAGUGGGUAUGAGUGAUGAAGAGCUUCUAGAAGCUCUUAUAAAAGAGCAUUGUUCAAAAGAGAAUCUGCACUUGUUGGAUUUGCCUGAUGUAGAGGUCUUAGGAAAGCAAGGGCCGAAGACAGAGUGUAGUGAUGGUGUUCAAGAACACAAUGAUCAAAUAACUGCACCUGCGUCGAGUGGUGUUGUGUGUGAUGACGGUUCGCGUAAAUUAACAGAGGAGGAAGUAAAGGCAGAAGGUAGUCAAGAACUUCACAAGAGCACAUCUGCAGCCGAGACUGCAGACAAGAUGAGUGGUGCUCAUAAAGAAAAGGAUUCAGUAUCAGAUGAAGCCUCCAGAACUGCAAAAUCGAAUGCUUUUGUCCGAGAUAAUUUAUGUGGUGAGUGUAAAAUUGUGCGACCUGACCCAACGGAGAAGGAUUUGAUUAUGUACCUACAUGCAUUACGAUACAAAGGACCUGGCUUUGAAUAUACCACCCAAAUGCCUGACUGGGCUAAAGAAGACUGGCUUCAGGAUUAAACUAAAAUCAGAUGUAUUCAUGCAUCAUUUGUUACCUGAUAUUACCGCACGUGUUUACAGAGAUUUUGUUUUUUUGUUCUCUUCGAUUACUAAAUAUAUUCUGAGUGAAUUAAAAAAAAACUACUUUUUAAAUUUCUUUUCAUUUAAGAUUUGUGGAUUUAUUAGUCAGUAUUGCGGUGCAUUUCUGUUUCAUCAAUUGUUUUGUUUCAGUUCCUUAUGUUUUGAGAAGGAAAACAUCUCAUCUGACAUGAGCAUACAGCAAUAAGUUUUUUUUUGUGGGAAUAAAAAUAAAUCAUUAUACAUAAAUA
Molecule: RNA transcript, 2092 nt
Organism: Sinocyclocheilus rhinocerous
Lineage: Eukaryota; Metazoa; Chordata; Actinopteri; Cypriniformes; Cyprinidae
Gene name: RNA pseudouridylate synthase domain-containing protein 2-like
Exons: 4
Source: RefSeq, a predicted model, not a curated record